CGUGCGUGUGUGUGUGUGUGUGUGUGUGUGUGUGUGUGCACGCACGCGCGCAUUGCCUGCCACCC
Molecule: microRNA precursor, 65 nt
Filed under: Tursiops truncatus (common bottlenose dolphin)
Lineage: Eukaryota; Metazoa; Chordata; Mammalia; Artiodactyla; Delphinidae
Description: miRNA (ENSTTRG00000022109.1)
Source: RNAcentral